This 250-nucleotide ribosomal RNA is filed under the name uncultured bacterium. Its description in RNAcentral is "partial 16S ribosomal RNA". It matches the Rfam family "Bacterial small subunit ribosomal RNA", at positions 524 to 773 of the family's 1533-position model. The record is from RNAcentral.
UACGGAGGAUCCAAGCGUUAUCCGGAUUUAUUGGGUUUAAAGGGUGCGUAGGCGGGGAUUCAAGUCAGCGGUGAAAGUACAUGGCUCAACCAUGUAAUUGCCGUUGAAACUGUGUUCCUUGAGUAUGGAUAAGGUAGGCGGAAUUCGUGGUGUAGCGGUGAAAUGCUUAGAUAUCACGAAGAACUCCAAUUGCGAAGGCAGCUUGCUGGGUCAUAACUGACGCUGAGGCACGAAGGUGCGGGUAUCGAAC